RNAcentral lists this ribosomal RNA (253 nucleotides) under uncultured bacterium. RNAcentral's name for it is "partial 16S ribosomal RNA". It matches the Rfam family "Bacterial small subunit ribosomal RNA", at positions 524 to 776 of the family's 1533-position model. The record is from RNAcentral.
UACGUAGGUGGCAAGCGUUGUCCGGAUUUACUGGGCGUAAAGAGCGCGCAGGCGGUCGUUCAAGUCGAGUGUGAAAGCCCCCGGCUCAACUGGGGAGGGUCACUCGAUACUGAUCGACUGGAAGGCAGGAGAGGGAAGCGGAAUUCCCGGUGUAGUGGUGAAAUGCGUAGAUAUCGGGAGGAACACCAGUGGCGAAGGCGGCUUCCUGGCCUGUUCUUGACGCUGAGGCGCGAAAGCUAGGGGAGCAAACGGG